RNAcentral lists this transfer RNA (56 nucleotides) under Veronica muratae. RNAcentral's name for it is "partial tRNA-Leu". Lineage: Eukaryota; Viridiplantae; Streptophyta; Magnoliopsida; Lamiales; Plantaginaceae. The record is from RNAcentral.
ACAUAGACCUCAGUCAUCUAAUAAAUGAGGAUGGAAGGUCCAGUGAAACGGUCGGG